CGUGCCGGGCUCUAGCCGCCCAAGAACAGGCCUGCCUGACGCGGCGAGAGGCAGGCAGCCUCUAGCCAGCGGGGACUAGGCUCGUCGGGGUCGACCGCUCGAGCCUAAUGCGGCGGACAACUUUUACCGUUACGACCACCUAGGAGGCUUACCGUACCCUUUGGUUCCCUUCGUGAUAAUGAGUUACACCGUUUGGAACAAACUCUAACUGUGGUUCAUACACGGAUAGUUUGGGUAUCCGGCUCCUCGAAUACCUUAUCAAACGAGUAGGUAUUUGGCACUCUGUUUGCUCUUUCAUCGCUAUUUCUUCUAUGUAUUACAUAAGCUGUUGGCACACCUACGUGAUUCCUGGAACGCCCUCGACUUUGAGGAGGCCGUAGAGGCGGUACUCUUACAAUAAAGAAACUUCCUAUAUUACUACGGACAUGUUUCCUCCUCGAAAUUCCUACACAUGAACCAAAUACUCGAGUACCUAUGACUGGACGUAGUCUAUUAGUUUAGCGGAGUCCCCGAAAGGUUGCUGGUGACGGUUAUAAAAGAAAAAGUCAACGAAGCUCCUGACUUUAUGGAGGUAAGUCGUCUCUAUGAGGUGUCUCUGGAUUUUGGACCCUUGGAUGACCACUUACGUUUGACACUAGACUUCUAUACGCUAAAACCAGAACGUGCAUGUUUGUCAUCAUUUCCGGUCAAAUACUGACUUAUACAGCAGUGGGCGACCAUAUCCCGAGGACUCAACGACGAAACGACGCUGUUGAUGCCGUGAAGGUAACUACAAACCAGACAACCGACGUAGAAACGACUCGAUGAACCGGCGUUCGGAUAAAAGGGGCCCUGUCUCACGGAUUUAGUCGAUUUUGACUAUCAGUUACAAGAACCGUGCUACUCGCUCAGACUGGACCUCAAGUAGCUGUUGGGUUUCCGGGCGUCUAUAUAGUUCUGGGAGGGGAUGUGAGGACCACAAGGUGAACGUUCAUACAUGGGUGUACGUGUGGGAGACCGGUAGCUAGAUAAUGUCUUCUACGAGUAGAAGCUGGGAUGGUUUUCCCAGUCACAAUGGGUCCGGGAACUCGUGGGAAUGUACAGAGGAGACAUACUGGGUUCACGUUUGGGAGGGCGCGUUCACGGGUAGCUAGAGCUGUAUCUACUCUUGUAGUCGAGUCUCUACUAGUCCCUUUACUACACCGUCCUCUACGAAGUGAUGGUGGGACUUCGGCGGUGCCGUCAUUUGUACACUGCUGCUAGAACGUCACGGGACCCUUCUUGGGCCGUCCGAGUGAGGAAAAAAGGAGCUUUUCUGAUGACGCUAAUAGCGUGGAUAAUUCAUUGGUGCUGCACGUCACACCUCUCCAUAGAGGCACAUUUAUACGUCACGCUAUUCUUGGCGUAUACCUAUCAAGAACAAUACCUGGUGAAACCACAUACAUAUGACAACACAACAACAUAUUCGAGUACUUUCUUGACAACUUCGCUUAAGUCAUUCAACAACUAAACACUACCGGGAGGACACAAACAACAACGUCAACCAUAAACUUCGUCUGGA
This 1540-nucleotide ribosomal RNA is filed under the name Triticum aestivum (bread wheat). RNAcentral describes it as "partial small subunit ribosomal RNA". The record is from RNAcentral. Lineage: Eukaryota; Viridiplantae; Streptophyta; Magnoliopsida; Poales; Poaceae.